RNAcentral lists this ribosomal RNA (164 nucleotides) under Tephrosia virginiana. Its description in RNAcentral is "5.8S ribosomal RNA". It matches the Rfam family "5.8S ribosomal RNA". From Rfam's summary of the family: 5.8S ribosomal RNA (5.8S rRNA) is a component of the large subunit of the eukaryotic ribosome. It is transcribed by RNA polymerase I as part of the 45S precursor that also contains 18S and 28S rRNA. The record is from RNAcentral. Lineage: Eukaryota; Viridiplantae; Streptophyta; Magnoliopsida; Fabales; Fabaceae.
UAAAUGACUCUCGGCAACGGAUAUCUCGGCUCUUGCAUCGAUGAAGAACGUAGCGAAAUGCGAUACUUGGUGUGAAUUGCAGAAUCCCGUGAACCAUCGAGUCUUUGAACGCAAGUUGCGCCCAAAGCCAUUAGGUUGAGGGCACGCCUGCCUGGGUGUCACAA